Molecule: ribosomal RNA, 598 nt
Filed under: Hansenula anomala
Lineage: Eukaryota; Fungi; Ascomycota; Saccharomycetes; Phaffomycetales; Wickerhamomycetaceae
Description: eukaryotic LSU rRNA
Rfam family: Eukaryotic large subunit ribosomal RNA
Source: RNAcentral
AUAGCGGAGGAAAAGAAACCAACAGGGAUUGCCUCAGUAACGGCGAGUGAAGCGGCAAAAGCUCAAAUUUGAAAUCUAGCACCUUCGGUGUUCGAGUUGUAAUUUGAAGAUGGUAACCUUGGGUUUGGCUCUUGUCUAUGUUCCUUGGAACAGGACGUCAUAGAGGGUGAGAAUCCCGUCUGAUGAGAUGCCCAUUCCUAUGUAAGGUGCUAUCGAAGAGUCGAGUUGUUUGGGAAUGCAGCUCUAAGUGGGUGGUAAAUUCCAUCUAAAGCUAAAUAUUGGCGAGAGACCGAUAGCGAACAAGUACAGUGAUGGAAAGAUGAAAAGAACUUUGAAAAGAGAGUGAAAAAGUACGUGAAAUUGUUGAAAGGGAAGGGCAUUAGAUCAGACUUGGUGUUUUACGAUUAUCUUCUCUUCUUGAGUUGUGCACUCGUAUUUCACUGGGCCAGCAUCGAUUCGGAUGGCAAGAUAAUGGCAGUUGAAUGUGGCUUCACUUCGGUGGAGUGUUAUAGCUUCUGCUGAUAUUGCCUGUCUGGAUCGAGGGCUGCGUCUUUUGACUAGGAUGCUGGCGUAAUGAUCUAAUGCCGCCCGUCUUGAA